UUCAGAUUGCAGGCUGCAACUCGCCUGCAUGAAGUCGGAAUUGCUAGUAAUCGCAGAUCAGCAUGCUGCGGUGAAUACGUUCCCGGGCCUUGUACACACCGCCCGUCACACCAUGGGAGUCGGUAACACCCGAAGUCGGUAGCCUAACCGUAAGGAGGGCGCCGCCGAAGGUGGGAUUGAUGACUGGGGUGAAGUCGUAACAAGGUACC
This 209-nucleotide ribosomal RNA is filed under the name uncultured bacterium. RNAcentral describes it as "partial 16S ribosomal RNA". It matches the Rfam family "Bacterial small subunit ribosomal RNA", at positions 1292 to 1500 of the family's 1533-position model. The record is from RNAcentral.